GAUGAACGCUGGCGGCGUGCCUAAUACAUGCAAGUCGAGCGAACGGACGAGAAGCUUGCUUCUCUGAUGUUAGCGGCGGACGGGUGAGUAACACGUGGAUAACCUACCUAUAAGACUGGGAUAACUUCGGGAAACCGGAGCUAAUACCGGAUGAUAUUUUGAACCGCAUGGUUCAAAAGUGAAAGACGGUCUUGCUGUCCCUUAUAGAUGGAUCCGCGCUGCAUUAGCUAGUUGGUAAGGUAACGGCUUACCAAGGCAACGAUGCAUAGCCGACCUGAGAGGGUGAUCGGCCACACUGGAACUGAGACACGGUCCAGACUCCUACGGGAGGCAGCAGUAGGGAAUCUUCCGCAAUGGGCGAAAGCCUGACGGAGCAACGCCGCGUGAGUGAUGAAGGUCUUCGGAUCGUAAAACUCUGUUAUUAGGGAAGAACAUAUGUGUAAGUAACUGUUCACAUCUUGACGUUACCUAAUCAGAAAGCCACGGCUAACUACGUG
This 497-nucleotide ribosomal RNA is filed under the name uncultured bacterium. Its description in RNAcentral is "partial 16S ribosomal RNA". It matches the Rfam family "Bacterial small subunit ribosomal RNA", at positions 28 to 507 of the family's 1533-position model. The record is from RNAcentral.